Molecule: ribosomal RNA, 706 nt
Filed under: uncultured bacterium
Lineage: Bacteria
Description: bacterial SSU rRNA
Rfam family: Bacterial small subunit ribosomal RNA
Source: RNAcentral
GUUGGCGGCGGGAGAGUAACGCGUGGAAUACGUACCCUCAGGCCCGGGAUAGCUGCGGGAAACUGCAGGUAAUACCGGAUAACAUUUUCGGGAUCAAAGGGUGUGAUUCCACCUGAGGAGCGGUCCCGCGUCCUAUUAGCUUGUUGGUGGGGGUAACGGGCCUACCAAGGCAUUGAUGGGUACCGGGGUGUGAAGAGCAUGGCCCGGCUCACUGGGACUGAGACACUGCCCAGACACCUACGGGUGGCUGCAGUCGAGAAUCUUCCGCAAUGGGCGAAAGCCUGACGGAGCGACGCCGCGUGCGGGAUGAAGGCCUUCGGGUUGUAAACCGCUGUCAGAGGGGAGUAAGUGAAGGGGGUUAUCCCCUGGAUCUGAACUAUCCUCAGAGGAAGGACGGGCUAAGUUCGUGCCAGCAGCCGCGGUAAGACGAACCGUCCAAACGUUAUUCGGAAUCACUGGGCUUAAAGGGUGCGUAGGCGGCCCUGCAAGUUGGGUGUGAAAUCCCACGGCUCAACCGUGGAAUUGCGCCCAAAACUGCAGGACUUGAGGGAGACAGAGGUGAGCGGAACUUAUGGUGGAGCGGUGAAAUGCGUUGAUAUCAUAAGGAACACCGGUGGCGAGGGCGGCUCACUGGGUCUCUUCUGACGCUGAGGCACGAAAGCUAGGGUAGCGAACAGGAUUAGAUACCCUGGUAGUCCUAGCUGUA